AGUGAACGCUGGCGGUAGGCCUAACACAUGCAAGUCGAACGGCAGCACAGUAAGAGCUUGCUCUUACGGGUGGCGAGUGGCGGACGGGUGAGGAAUACAUCGGAAUCUACUUUUUCGUGGGGGAUAACGUAGGGAAACUUACGCUAAUACCGCAUACGACCUACGGGUGAAAGCAGGGGAUCUUCGGACCUUGCGCGAUUGAAUGAGCCGAUGUCGGAUUAGCUAGUUGGCGGGGUAAAGGCCCACCAAGGCGACGAUCCGUAGCUGGUCUGAGAGGAUGAGCGGCGAAACGGUAACGGAUAAACGACCCAUACCGCUAGCGGAGGAAGCAGUAGGCACUUGUGAGCAAGGGGCGAAUGCAGGAUGGAGCAAACACGCGCGAGUGAUGAACGUCUUAGGAUCGGAAAACGCUGUUAUAAGGGAAGAAAAAAUGUGGAAGGAACUAGGCACGUAUUGACGGGACAGAAUAAGAAAGAGACGGCUAACUACGUG
RNAcentral lists this ribosomal RNA (492 nucleotides) under uncultured bacterium. RNAcentral's name for it is "partial 16S ribosomal RNA". It matches the Rfam family "Bacterial small subunit ribosomal RNA", at positions 29 to 507 of the family's 1533-position model. The record is from RNAcentral.